Cannabis sativa is the source of this 2330-nucleotide long non-coding RNA. RefSeq lists it as uncharacterized. NCBI's taxonomy places the organism in Eukaryota, Viridiplantae, Streptophyta, Magnoliopsida, Rosales, Cannabaceae. The record is from RefSeq and is a predicted model, not a curated record. The transcript has 2 exons.
UAGAGAUAUUGACACAUGAGAUGGUGUUAAGCACUACUGGUACCUUUUAACAUUUCUCUUUAAGAUUUUAGUAGUGUUUAGUACCACUUAAAAAUGAGGUUUUACGAUAUUGCAUGAAAAUUAUUACAUUAAAGUAAAUAAAAUAAGUUAAUUAUGAUUUUUACCCCCUGAACUUUGACAUGUACCAAAUUAUGCCCCCUAAACUAUUGAUAUUGUUGGAUUGAAGGACUUUUGUCUAAUUUUAUUCAAUUUUACCAUUUCAAUGAUUGUUUAUGUACUAAACUAUGUUCUCCAGACUUUGAUAUCUACCAAAUCAUGCCCUUCGAACUUUGACAUGCACUAAAUUAUGCCCCUUGAACUUUCAUCCAUGUUAGACUUUUUUACUAAAAUUAAAAAAAAGUUCUUAAAUCCAACAAUCUCAAUAGUUCAAGAGAUAUUUUCAAUGACCUUAAAAGUUCAGGGGCAUGAUUUGGUACAUGUCAAAACUCAAAGGGCAAAAAUCCUAAUUAGCCAAUAAAAUAUGAUACUAAAUUAAUUAAUAGCACUUCAGAUACUUUUAAGCGUUUCUCUUACAAAGAAUUUCAUUACACAGCUAAUGCUUGAUUUAAAUGAGUUCAAAGUCUGUUGAAAAGAAAAAAGUUAAAAGCUUAGGUUAGUGAUGAUUACUUACUCAAAGGGUUGGUGUCAUUCUCACUUGGUUAAAGCUGAAAUCACUCCAAUUAAUGACAUGUGUAAACAUUGUCUGUCGACUUCUUGUGAAGUGGGGUUCUGCCAUUUUUGGUUUGGAAAAAGAUUCCAGCUAAUCCAUAACUACAAAUCUUUGCUUUGUUUAGAACAAACUGUUUGAAAAUGAAAGAGCUUUGAAGACCUCCCCACCCCUUUCUUUUUUUAACACUGGGAAUUGACAGUGUGUAGAUUAGAAUAGAUUAGCUUAGAUUUGACUUGACUAUGAGGAUUGAAGAGAGAUGAUGACUUGUCCCAAUGCUUAAGCUCUGUCCAGCUGGUGAUUUUUUUGACACCCGUAAAGCCACAAACAAGCCAAGUGUCUUCCACUUAUUACCAUUAAUAACUCCAUCACCCAAUUAUGAUGAAACAAUCUAUGCAGUGUUGUACCACUUUGGUUGGUAUGUUUUUUUUCUUUCUUUACAUAAAUUAGGUUCACCUAGAUAACCAUGAACAAAAUCACAUACCCUUCUAGGCAGGCCUUCUAUUCUAUAGAGUAGUACCAUAUAAAAUGAGAAUCUAUCUCUUUCUUAAGAUAAUGUAUCAGUUAGGGGUUUUAAUACCUCAGUCUACCUUAAUUGAAUCAUUACUUAGUUCUUAUCAUAAGGGGGCUAACACGCCAAAAAAGAAAAAAAAAAAGAAUAUAUUUGAAGUAGUUGUCAAUGCUGAAAAAGCAUUUAGUAGCAAAUAGUACUAGUAAUAAUAUUUAUACAUAUGCUUAGUUGGGGCAUAUUAUAGUGUUGAAACAAUGAAACUUACCUGGUUUUGGUGUCUAGUCUUAAAUAGAGUAAAUCUUUUCAACUACCCUUUUACCUACUAUUAUAUUCACUUAUUACUAGUAUGCUGUGCUUGGAAGAAGAACUGAAUUGAAUUCAAGCAAUUAAAAGUAAGGCAGUCAGUAUUACUUAGGUGAUGGAGAUAGAUGAGUAGUAGGAUCAGCUUAAUGUGAUAUAUUGAUAUUGGUAUCUUCAACAAUGCAAAGUCACAUCAUCAUCACAAACCCUUUAAUAAAAAAAAAAAAAAAACUAUUCAAUGUUUGUUUUCAAACCGAUGAAAGAACUCAGUUUAAGCAGAGCAUCAUUAAUAUACUUGUUUUAACUCUCUUUCUCUCUAUAAAUACAUAAAUAUAUUUAUAUUAUUCUAGUCCUGCCAAGGAGGGAAAUUUAGUCCAAUAGGCAUCUUCUUCUCUAUCAGUUAAAACCAAAAUCAUUCAACAAUUCACACAACACAACUCAUAUCAUUUCCAACCUUUCUCUAUUUUGGGCCAAUGCCUUGUUCUGUUUCUUACAAUAUUCUAUUAGGGAAUGGUGCCUUUUUCACCUUUGGGGAAAGAAUGAAAUUUGGGGUCAUUUGGGAUUGGUCAAAACUCUCACAAUAUAACAUUUUGUUUCAUCUAAAAUCUUGCAUGUGGGAAUGAGGUUGUGUUUUCAGAUGGAAAAGCUCAGAUUCUUCUCUGCAAAAAAUUGCUGGUAAUUAUAAUAUAUAUUCUAACUAGUCUCCAAUUUAAAAGGGGGUUGUAUUUAUUAUGAGCUUUAUAUGGUAAAAGCUAAACCCAACUUUCUUCCUUUGUUCUUUCUUUAUACCAAAAUCAAUGAUAAAUAUUCAGA